AUGAUGAUAAAACCCUGAGUGGUGAGGAAAGAAGUGGACACCUGCCCAGCCAGCCAGAUGAGAUGGGUGCACCAUCUCAGCCAGAUGAGAGCACCCCUAGUGCUCAGUGGGGUGGCAGAUGUCACAGACAGAUCAUCCCCACAUCAUUCAGGGAUUAUGAGAUGUCCAAGAGUCACUGUUCUUCAUGACUCAUGGAAGUCUCUAGAACACUGCUGGUGCCUUCCUUCCUGUAAGAAACUGGCCAAGCCUAUGGGCUGUCCAGCUAGUAGUUGCUGGCGUCCUGGGAACGUUGAGGCACCUGGCCUCAGAGCUAGUCACUGGCCCACGACUGCCGGAGGAAAAUGCCGCAGGGACAUCCAGGAAGCUAGAGCAACUGCAGCCCUGCCAGCCACUGCUUCCUGCCAGCGAGGCUCACCAGCAGAUGGACGACACAUGUGAGCUUCGAUGGCUGUCCCCUCCUCUGCCCACCUGCUUCUGAGGACCUCCUGCACCUUACCUCAGCCGGCACAACUCUCUUACUUCUACUGUGGCCUGAGGGCCUGUGUUUUGACCCAUGCCAAGACAAGUGGUCGCAAUCUGUAGGUUAAAGUCCAGAGCUCCCGGCCACCCCAGUGCAGCUUUCUUCAGUGAGGUUUUCAACCACGUGGCUAGUGAGAUAGAUUGGGCCUAUACAAGAGCCACCGAGCCCUUUGUAGUGGGUUUCUGGAAGCCAGGGUUCCCGGCCCAGAGUUACUUUGAACAUGCUAUGUGGUUGAGGACAACAUUAGAUUUCAUGCGUGAAGCACUCUGCGGUACCAGGUGAGGAUGGAACUUAGGGCGUGUUACACAAAUACUCUACCAAAUGAGCUAUAUCGCAGGACCCUGAGCUGCAGCUGUUAAGCACUAGCCUAGGUUGCUUGGGCACCUGUGAUGUCAUCAUUGGUCGCCACUCACAGGGGCGUGGGAUAAAAGGACCCCUGCCUCUUACCUCUCUCUCCUGGUCUCCUCUCUUGCUCUCUCUGCUUUUCUUUCUGUCCCUCUGUCUCUCUCUACCUCUGCCCUCAUGGCUCACUCAGGCCCUAACUCUCUUCUGCUUCUCUUCUCCCAAAUAAAUAUCUUUCAUAUCAAGUCUGUCA
This 1115-nucleotide long non-coding RNA is filed under the name Meriones unguiculatus (Mongolian gerbil). RNAcentral's name for it is "lncRNA (ENSMUGG00000016975.1)". The record is from RNAcentral. Lineage: Eukaryota; Metazoa; Chordata; Mammalia; Rodentia; Muridae.